UCAUUCUCAUACCCCUCUCUCUCUCUCUCUCUCUCUCUUUCUCUCUCCAUCGGCGUCUCACACACACGAGCACCACCACCGACCACUGUCCCUCCGAUCACCACCGAAUCGUCUGAGCUGGGAGUUCGAUUUCGAUUUCGAUUUUGAGCCACUGAUUUGAUUUUCUUUGUGAGUUUCUAGGACUGAUCGGAGGAAGAUUCACUCAGGAAAUUUCAAGAGAAAAUAGCUUGUGCAUUGCAUAAAAAUGGUUAGAUCUUUAUGAUACUUGAGGUGUCUUUUUUGCUUGGAUUUAUCCCCAUUUUUGUUGCAUGGAUAUAUUCUGAGUUGUUAGAAUACUAGAAGUCUGCAUCUCCAUCUAAAGUGUAGGGUUUUCUCUUUAACAUGAAGAUCAGUAGAUUAUUGGAUAGAGUACACAACUUUUCGUUUGCACUGGUAAUCUCUGACCUUACACUCGUUUUUCUCACUACACUUCUUUUUCUUGUGCAACUCCCUAACCUUUUCAGUGUAGAAACAAGGAACUAAUUACACAGACUUAUCUUCAGAUCAAUCUAAACAACUGACCUGUUGUGCGCUAGUGGACUGAAAUUUAUAAUGUAUACUAUCAGUACUAGGUAGCUUAAUUAAUUACAAAAUUUAUAUUGUCUUCCCCAUUUUUCAGUUGCAAAACAUAUGCUUUGUGUGAGAUGAUUCUCUAGUACUAGGUAGCUUAUUUGAUUUGCCUCUCUACUUAACAAUCAUAGAUUCAUGAAGUUCAUAUAGUUCAUAUAGUGAGGUGGAAACUAAUCCAAUUCUAUUUUACCUGUAAGAAGGGGAAGUUAAAUUUUUUGUGAUUAUUUUCUGUUGAAUAUUAACGUUUCUGUUUUUCCCCAUUUUGAUUUUAUGGAGAAUUGAAUUUUUCAGAAAGAUCAUCAGGCCAUUGAUAUCCUUCUAGCAGAGAUUGAUAUAUAAGAGCUUUUUGCUUUCAAACAUUGCAAGGGAAGGAAGGUUAAGCUUGCUCUUUGUGAAGGUGAGUUUUUGGUGUAGGCUAUGGAUAAAAAAUGAUUGCUGAUAUUUGGUACUUUCAUGUUAUGUUAAUUGAUUGGAUCUUAAUUAUUAUACACCAAGAUAACUUGGUAGCGGAAGUAAUAAAGUACUAUUGAAGUAAAUGAAUAUUGUGCUCGUCUUUUUCAAUAGUUUGCAUUGUACCUUGUUUGGAGUAGUGAGAGCUAAAGAAUCAUGACUUUGUAUGUGCUGAUUGUUAGUUGAUAUUGAUAUUUGUGUUUAGAUUUUGUUCACAAAUAGAAAUCAAAGUUCUGUUCACAAUGAAACAAAUGUUUUCAUAUGAUGUGUAGGUCUACGAUUUGCUUUCACUUUGAAUCAGGGCAGAGGUUUUGCUGGUUACAGUUAUUGUCAUGACUUAAUGUUCAUGCAUUAUUUUCAGUGGAUUUUGUGGUUUAAUGAUAGAAGUGAUGAGCAUAGUAUUUCCGGUUUUUUCACAACUAAAUUAACAGUUGAGUUGUUUCAAUUAUGCUACGGCGUUCAAAUUUUAUUUUAAACAUCGUGGUAGGAUAGUUAAUCACAGGUUUUUGCACAACCUUUGCUCAAUAAUCUGCAUCACUUGGUUAGGUAGAGUACUCUUGACGAACUUUUGAAGAUUUGGAUUUCUUUAAAACAUAAAUGUCUUCGAUCAGUUUUUUUCCUGUCAACAGUUUACAUCUCUAUUGGAAUAAUCCCAUAACUGUAUGCAUUUCCCAGUGUGUGUGUGUGUGUUUGAUGCAUGGAUCGUAUUGGUGGAGUAGAAAGUCAAUGAUUAAUUUAGCUUUGGAUCUUGUGAUGGUUUCAUAACCCGUGGCAUGUCAUAUCAUAUUGAAAACUGUUGCAGCCUGUUGGGUUGAGUCCUUUAUUCUACAAUGUAACUAGCAUAGAGUUGCUGGUCUACUUCUUGGACUGUUGAAUAGCCUUAGGCCUGAGAAACUACCCAUUUUACUGUCCUUUCAUUGUUUUCAUGUUUGCCUUGCUUGUAUCUAGUUGUUGGCAA
Molecule: non-coding RNA, 2017 nt
Organism: Camellia sinensis
Lineage: Eukaryota; Viridiplantae; Streptophyta; Magnoliopsida; Ericales; Theaceae
Source: RefSeq, a predicted model, not a curated record